Molecule: ribosomal RNA, 256 nt
Filed under: uncultured bacterium
Lineage: Bacteria
Description: partial 16S ribosomal RNA
Rfam family: Bacterial small subunit ribosomal RNA
Source: RNAcentral
UACGGGGGGGCAAGCGUUGUUCGGAAUUACUGGGCGGUAAAGGGCUCGUAGGCGGCCAACUAAGUCGGAUGUGAAAUCCCCAGGCUCAACUUGGGAACUGCAUCCGAUACUGGAUGGCUUGAAUUCGGGAGAGGGAUGCAGAAUUCCAGGUGUAGCGGUGAAAUGCGUAGAUAUCUGGAGGAAUACCGGUGGCGAAGGCGGCAUCCUGGACCGACAUUGACGCUGAGGAGGCGAAAAGCUAGGGGAGCAAACGGGG